Molecule: non-coding RNA, 67 nt
Organism: Macrobrachium nipponense
Lineage: Eukaryota; Metazoa; Arthropoda; Malacostraca; Decapoda; Palaemonidae
Source: the annotation of a RefSeq genome assembly
ACUUAAGAAGCUUAAAGUUUUGAGCGUUACAUUGAAGCUGUAGAGGUGGCAAGUUUGUCCUUAGGUG